Ictalurus punctatus (channel catfish) is the source of this 681-nucleotide long non-coding RNA. NCBI's taxonomy places the organism in Eukaryota, Metazoa, Chordata, Actinopteri, Siluriformes, Ictaluridae. The record is from Ensembl.
AGGUACUAAUGUCACUGACCAGGUAGUUACUAAGUUACUGACCAGGGAGUUACUAAGGUCACUGACCAGGGAGUUACUAAAGUCACUGACCAGGUAGUUACUAAAGUCACUGACCAGGGAGUUACUAAAUCACUGACCAGGGAGUUACUAAGGUCACUGACCAGGGAGUUACUAAGUUACUGACCAGGGAGUUACUAAAGUCACUAACCAGGUAGUUGCUAAGGUACUGACCAGGGAGUUACUAAGUUACUGACCAGGGAGUUACUAAGGUCACUAACCAGGUAGUUACUAAGGUACUGACCAGGUAGUUACUAAGGUCACUAACCAGGGAGUUACUAAGGUCACUGACCAGGGAGUUACUAAGUUACUGAUCAGGUAGGUACUAAGUCACUGACCAGGGAGUUACUAAGGACACUGAUCAGGUGGUUACUAAGAUACUGACCAGGUAGGUACUAAGUUACUGACCAGGGAGUUACUAAGGUACUAAGGUCACUGACCAGGACAACAUUCUGGACAAACAAGUCCGAUCCCACGGAUCCACCUCGGUCGCAACUUACAGGACGUAAAGGAUCUGCCGCUAACGUCUCAGCGCCAGAUCCCACAGCACACCUUCGGAGGUCUUGUUGAGUCCGUACCUCGAGGUGUCGGAGCCGUUCUGGCACGAGGAGAGGCGGACCGCCC